AGCUUGGUAUACGGUACAGUGAGACGAC
This 28-nucleotide small RNA is filed under the name Bombyx mori (domestic silkworm). RNAcentral's name for it is "ovarian small RNA-12154". The record is from RNAcentral. Lineage: Eukaryota; Metazoa; Arthropoda; Insecta; Lepidoptera; Bombycidae.